Molecule: small RNA, 143 nt
Filed under: Cronobacter dublinensis subsp. dublinensis
Lineage: Bacteria; Pseudomonadati; Pseudomonadota; Gammaproteobacteria; Enterobacterales; Enterobacteriaceae
Description: RtT sRNA
Rfam family: RtT RNA
About the family: This family represents a bacterial cis-regulatory element known as RtT RNA. The exact function of RtT is unknown although it is thought that it may be involved in changing the cellular response in relation to amino acid starvation.
Source: RNAcentral
AUUGCGCCAGCCCAGGGAGGGAUGAGAACCCUCGACCAGGAUUCGACCACUGGCGCAGCCAGUGGGACAGUCUGCGAGACUCGCGAGCAGACUGCCCGAAGGGUGAGGCCCACAGGGCCGAAUCAAUCCCUCCCUCACCGCCA